Molecule: small RNA, 30 nt
Filed under: Bombyx mori (domestic silkworm)
Lineage: Eukaryota; Metazoa; Arthropoda; Insecta; Lepidoptera; Bombycidae
Description: ovarian small RNA-29659
Source: RNAcentral
UCUCCGUCCUUCGUGGACACUACCUCCGUC